AAACUUUCAACAACGGAUCUCUUGGUUCCGGCAUCGAUGAAGAACGCAGCGAAAUGCG
This 58-nucleotide ribosomal RNA is filed under the name Penicillium spinulosum. RNAcentral's name for it is "5.8S ribosomal RNA". It matches the Rfam family "5.8S ribosomal RNA", at positions 1 to 57 of the family's 154-position model. Rfam says of the family: 5.8S ribosomal RNA (5.8S rRNA) is a component of the large subunit of the eukaryotic ribosome. The record is from RNAcentral. Lineage: Eukaryota; Fungi; Ascomycota; Eurotiomycetes; Eurotiales; Aspergillaceae.